UUAACUUAUUAUAUAGUACUCAGACGACACUAAACACAAGAGUUGGGGUCCUCUGGCAGGCGCUCCCCAGCAAAGAGCCGGGGGCCCGAAGGCGGCCUGCCAAAGCAACAAGAGUAAAUUAUACAGGGUGGGAGGUCUGCCCCGGAGGGCAUAUCUCUGUAAUGAUCCUUCCGCUGGUUCACCAACGGAAA
This 191-nucleotide unclassified non-coding RNA is filed under the name uncultured fungus. RNAcentral describes it as "sequence contains ITS1". The record is from RNAcentral. Lineage: Eukaryota; Fungi.